RNAcentral lists this ribosomal RNA (396 nucleotides) under uncultured bacterium. Its description in RNAcentral is "partial 16S ribosomal RNA". It matches the Rfam family "Bacterial small subunit ribosomal RNA", at positions 360 to 773 of the family's 1533-position model. The record is from RNAcentral.
AAUAUUGCACAAUGGAGGGAACUCUGAUGCAGCGACGCCGCGUGAAGGAAGAAGGUUUUCGGAUCGUAAACUUCUAUCAGCAGGGAAGAAAAUGACGGUACCCAAUGAGGAAGCCCCGGCUAACUACGUGCCAGCAGCCGCGGUAAUACGUAGGGGGCGAGCGUUGUCCGGAAUUACUGGGCGUAAAGGGUACGUAGGCGGCUAUAUAAGUCAGGUGUGAAAUACCAGUGCUUAACACUGGAAUUGCAUUUGAAACUGUGUAGCUUGAGUGCAGGAGAGGAAAGUGGAAUUCCUAGUGUAGCGGUGAAAUGCGUAGAGAUUAGGAGGAACACCAGUGGCGAAGGCGACUUUCUGGACUGUAACUGACGCUGAGGUACGAAAGCGUGGGUAGCGAAC